This 253-nucleotide ribosomal RNA is filed under the name uncultured bacterium. RNAcentral describes it as "partial 16S ribosomal RNA". It matches the Rfam family "Bacterial small subunit ribosomal RNA", at positions 524 to 776 of the family's 1533-position model. The record is from RNAcentral.
UACGAAGGGGGUUAGCGUUGCUCGGAAUUACUGGGCGUAAAGGGCGCUUAGGCGGACAGCUUAGUCAGAGGUGAAAGCCCAGGGCUCAACCUUGGAACUGCCUUUGAUACUGGCUGUCUUGAGUUCGGGAGAGGUGAGUGGAAUGCCGAGUGUAGAGGUGAAAUUCGUAGAUAUUCGGCGGAACACCAGUGGCGAAGGCGACUCACUGGCCCGAUACUGACGCUGAGGCGCGAAAGCGUGGGGAGCAAACAGG